Long non-coding RNA from Cucumis sativus (cucumber), 437 nucleotides. RefSeq lists it as uncharacterized. The transcript has 3 exons. The record is from RefSeq and is a predicted model, not a curated record. NCBI's taxonomy places the organism in Eukaryota, Viridiplantae, Streptophyta, Magnoliopsida, Cucurbitales, Cucurbitaceae.
UUGAAUCUAUAGGUUGUUCAAUGGUCUAAUAUUAACUAUGUUUAGAUUUAUGGUAAUUUUCAUUCUUUUACAGCCUUAAUAACCAAGGAAAGGUGUGCUUUGAUAAUCUUUUCUUUCUCUUCAGCAGGUUGGUAAUGUAGAAAGGAUACAUGUAUACUAUGCCCACGGACUAGAUAGCCCAACCUUUGUUCGCCGAUGUUAUUGGCUCCUAGAUAAGACCUUUGAACACAUUGUCCUUGUUCAUUAUCGUGAAACACAAGAGUUUCAGAAUUUUCCAUCCACAUCGUUGAACUCAAAUUCUGGUUCUGUCUCUAACCCAUCAACUCCGUGGCUUUUAUCGGAGGAACUUGAUUCCAAGGCUACUCAUGUUUAUUCUCUUGGUGAAAAUGAAUUGUCAGGUGAUACUGGCCGAACCUGUCAAAAAUAAAUGAGUCAUA